This 216-nucleotide ribosomal RNA is filed under the name uncultured bacterium. RNAcentral describes it as "partial 16S ribosomal RNA". It matches the Rfam family "Bacterial small subunit ribosomal RNA", at positions 29 to 255 of the family's 1533-position model. The record is from RNAcentral.
AGCGAACGCUGGCGGCAGGCCUAAUACAUGCAAGUCGAACGAAGCCUUCGGGCUUAGUGGCGGACGGGUGAGUAACACGUGGGAACGUACCCUUUGGUUCGGAACAACUCAGGGAAACUUGAGCUAAUACCGAAUGUGCCCCCAUCCUUAAACAAGAGUGGGUGGGAAAGAUUUAUCGCCAUUGGAGCGGCCCGCGUCUGAUUAGCUAGUUGGUGA